CCACCCCGAGCCUCGUUCAUCACCCACACCACUCCACCACCAUCCCAAUCUACCUCCCGCACACCACCUCGACCUCGAGAAGGUCUUCUUCCCCGGCUCCGACUACCGAUCCGCCACCAGCCUCCCUGAUCAGCACGACACCACCACUCCACCCCCACCUCCAAAAAUCUGCCAGUAGCCCACUGAUCCACCAUGUGAUCAUUUCCGUGCUUCAAUUUGACAACCGGAGCCCUCUCCGGCGAAGCCCACAACCACCCGACACCGUCGUCCGCCGGAGUCAACCUCGUCGUCGUCCUGGUGCUCGCCGGCGACCACCACCACUACCCACCUACGCGGGGUGCCACCCCGAACGCGUCCCGACCAUCGCCGCCUCCUGAAACGCUGGCGAUCGCCGCCGGUGACCACCGCCUCCCCUCUGUGCACGCGCGCGUAAAGCGCGUUUGAAUUUCGAACCUGACGGGUGGGACCGACCCGUCAGUAUUUUGUUCUUUUCUGUUUUUUGGGAAGCGUCUCUCCGAUUUAAGCUUCCUUCUCGGGGAAGCGUAUUCUGGGCGAGGCGUUUUUACUUGUUACCGCCGGGACCCGCUGGCAAUUAUUUUGUUACAGAGAGGUCCCUGGUUUUAAAUCCUUAAUAACUUUUAAACCACACAUCAGUUUCAAUUGUUUCUUUUUCUGAAAUUCUUGUUUUUCACUCUAGUUUAUUUUAGUAUUUUCUUAAAAAUAGUUUGAGACAACUUUUUGUGCGGUUGCAAAAAAGUUGAAUUUGGACUUUCAUUUUCAGAAAGCGAAGAGGGGGACUAUACCGGGAGUUUUGAAGAACCUCUUGCUGAUUACUUUGGUCAAGGCAAGUAUUAUUGGACUUGGGUUAUAGUGAAAUACCUUCCUGGUUGCAUCGGAGUAGUUUUGCACCAUAUAGUAGUGAUAGUGGAAGCAUGCAUCGGUCACGUCAAUUUAAGCACUAUUGCAUGAACCCUGUUGCAUGUCAUGUGAGCACUAUUUCACUCUUCAGGUAUUUUGCUAACGUAUGAAUGUGGAUAGAAUCCAGGAGUGUAUCUCCUGCCUUGGACAUGCCGAUGGGCACGGGCUGUGUCACGACAAGACGGUGUCACUAUGGCAUGUGAGACAUGCCAGUCUUGUAACAAUACCUCCUGAGUCGGCCUAGAAUCGAGUCUUGUUCCUUUAAGCCUAACUACACACCAUGCUGCCACUUGUCUUCCUGCAAGGGGAGUGUGAUUUAGUAAGUUGUUAACCCCUUUCCAUGUAAACACCACUUAGAGAGGCCACGAUGAGGGUUCCACGGCCAUGGACUAAUGCCAGUCAUCGGGUCAGGGGGCAUGGGUGUAUCCGGCUGGGCCGAGAGGGGGGCACCCCUUGUAAUCCGCGUGUAUUAAUAAUGAUUCCAUGCUAUUCGAGACGAUGGUCUCCCCGACUUAGAGUUUUACUUGAAAGAUGCUUUGGGUGAUUCCUGGCGUCCGGAAAGAAAUUCUGGUGUGUGCUGGUCAGGUGUGUUUCCAACCCAAAGAACAUAAUGGAAACUAGUCAAGGUCUAAACAUUGGCUACAGGAAUUCCAUACAUGUGGGUAAAGAGUACACCCUCCGCAGAGUUACAUCUAUUCGAAUAGCCGUGUCCACGGUCAAGGGCACAGUUGGGAAGGGUCAAGUAUCGGUCCCGGUGUCGGUCUUUGGAGGAAAAUAAUUAAAUUGAGCUUGAUCCAUCUUGCAGGGUAAUUAUGGGCACCAUUGAGGCUGCCAUGAAUAUGCAUAUUAUUGAUGUGUUGGACUAACCUAGUUCUCUUAUUCAAUUGUACUGAGUGUCACUUGGGAUGGCUAGACUACCCAUGCACUUAGCUUUAUUUUCUUUUCUUAGUAUCACCUGGGAUGGCUAAACUACCCGGUUACUUAGUUUUAUUUUCAAGACCUUACGUGGCGUCGCUUGAGUUCUCGGGCGGUCUUGUCUUGCCUGACUCUCUUUUAGACACCCGUAUGGCAUUUCUUUUCAAGACCUUACGAGGUGUCGCUUUCAGAUACCUGUUUGGCAUUUUUCCUGGAAUUUCUCGGGCGGUCUAACGCCCGAUGUUCCACUUUAAAUAUCCUAGCUAUCACUACUAUUAUUUGAUUAUUUUUCUACAUCAGAUCGACAUUAUCAUGUCAUGAUUAAUUCCAGUCAACAUGUGCAUUUAGCAUAGCCCAUCAGCAUUUGCAUUCGUUAUGCCUUUUGUUCAUAAUGUUUGCGAGUACAUUCCAACGUACUCACAGGCAUGUCCCUGGCUAUUGUCUUGGCCAGGCCUUGAGGAGGACGAGCUUGCCGAGGAGGACUGCGCUAGCGAGCCCAACGCGUAGAGGUGUUCCAAGUCAGUCACCUAUGGAUUUGGAGUCUACUACGUGUAUCAUCCACUAGUGCCUCCGCUACACGAAUAAAAUAGUCAAGCCUCACUCUGACGCUUGGCUCACUUUAUUGUAUCGGUGCUAUAGCACUGUCACCCACUGUCAUAUUCCACCACCACUUGUUGUACAAGUUUGUACUAGAUUGUAGAGCACUCUGGCUCCACGCGAUGUAAUAUUAUGUGUGUACUGGUUAUAUUUAUCAAGGAAGUCCACCAGCAGUCCUGAUCUUGGGGCUGGUGAGACUUUGG
This 2633-nucleotide long non-coding RNA is filed under the name Triticum aestivum (bread wheat). RNAcentral's name for it is "long non-coding RNA (TAES_LNC027583)". The record is from RNAcentral. Lineage: Eukaryota; Viridiplantae; Streptophyta; Magnoliopsida; Poales; Poaceae.